This is a long non-coding RNA of Ruditapes philippinarum (Manila clam), 326 nucleotides long. RefSeq lists it as uncharacterized. Lineage: Eukaryota; Metazoa; Mollusca; Bivalvia; Venerida; Veneridae. The transcript has 3 exons. The record is from RefSeq and is a predicted model, not a curated record.
CUGAAGGCUGUAAGAAAUAAUAUUUUGUUUAAGGAACAAAUACAUGGUAUAAGAGCCUGUUCUGCUUUAUCUUUUUCUUUUUCUGUGUCGGAGGAAACUAACAUGGGAGGUUCGGAUUCGAAACCUAGUUCACCGUCUCCGUUUACAAGUACCCCAUGGAGAACAACUCAAGCAUGGAAUGAAGAAUUUGAAUUGUCACUUCGUGAACAAAUAGAAGAAAUUCAAACGCAAUGGAAAGCCACAAUCGUACUAGUUGGACCAGUUGGAGCAGGAAAGUCUUCAUUUGUUAAUGCAAUACUAUCUGUUUCUCAGGGACAUAAGGUUGA